GUCCUGUCACGCACAUCACGUACAUUGUCGAAACAAUUAAAACCACUGCCAAUAUCUGUCAAUUAACAAACAAGAAAACAAUAUUAUUCUCUACUGUAUAUUCCAAUGGAGUUAUCAAUAGAAGCUUCUUACUUUGAACGACAUUUUUUCUUUGAUCUGAGACUGUUGUCUUCACCCAAUCAGAGUAUACUCAACCUCAUUUAUGUCCAUCGUCUUCUUUGUUCAGCAAUUCUAUUGUUAACCAAACAAUCGAAGUAUUCUGAUAUAGGUGUCCAACGAUCAGCGACCAGUAAGAUACGUGAGAUAGAUGCUUAAGUAUGUGGUCACUCUUUUCUCAGAGCUAUACAAAAGUUGUCUGACACACCCACUUGGAGAUGAUGCAUUUGAUGGUAAAUGGUUGUAGCAAGUAUGGUAUCAUUGGAAUGACAGUCGCGUCUACCAGCUUGUAACCAUUCUUUUUCUUUGACGAUGAACUAACCAAGGAUAUCUUGAUGUCAUUCACAGAGCUUUCAUCAAAAAGAAAAAAAUAAUAUUCUUUUGGAAAAAAGACAACGUAGCAUCAGUGACCACACAAAAGCAAUUACCGGUAUACUCCUGUUCUUUGUGGUGGUAAUGUAUUCACCAAGUGAUGCCUUGACAGAAUAAAACGUCUCUAAGGGUGCGGAGGUCGAUGAUUGAGAAACAGACGGAGAUGAGAUAAAAAUAAAAAAUAAAAAAAACAAGAUAAAAGAUGUUGCGUAGGAUUGACAUAAAGCUAAUCCUCGCAAGAAAAAAAAGGCAAAAAAAAAAGGUCGUCGCAAAAUAAGAAAUGGAAAUUUUCUUGUGAAACUCAUGGCCUCUCUUGAUAUACCUGAUUGCUCAAGAAAAGCAAUGUUCCAAAGCAUCAUGUCUUUUAACAACAAAACCAACCAACAGACAGACGUAAAAUUAUUUUUUCAUUCUGUGUUCCAUCUACCACAAACAAAAUGGUUCAUUUUGUUAAUUAUAAUCAACAAAUGAGAUAGCAAUUAAUUGCAAGACAUUGUGCACAGUAUAUGUCGUUUUCAUUGUUCAAAAGGAGUGUGACAAUAGGAUUAUGAAGCAUCAAGGAUAAUGCAAAGACGUGUGUCUAUAGAUAUUGUUGAUAAUGUUGCCUUUGAUGUUGUGGCUAAUGUUACAAUCUGCUUAUUAUCUGUAUCUAGAUACUGUCAAGUUAAUACAUACAGAUGUUUAUUUGAUGGUGAGAUGCGUUGGUCAUCAUUUGAGGCACAACAUGUACGAUGAGUAAAAAGUUUACACCGAAGAUAUGUACAAAAUGAUGAGUGACACCAGCAAACAACUUGACGAUAGUAUCGGUCCAGCAGUUCCAGUCUGCAUUGCUUCAGGUCGUUCGCCUGAGGGAUAAAAUAAAAAUAUAAAGAUAAGAUGAAAUUUUCAAACAAUUUUCUGGGAUAAUUACAUCCAACAAUGCGCAGAUCCGGGGAUUGAAUGAGAAAUACGCUUGUUGGACAUUAUGAUGAUGUAUGUACUUUGGCAGAAAGUGGAAAUUGAUAACCGCACAUGCUGGUGCUUCAUGUUCCUAUACUGUGGUUGACUAUAUAGUUGUGUCAACGGUCAGCAACAGCAUUGAAUAAAUUUGCAUGAACUAGCAUUUGAGAAACGAGAGAUUAUCCGGACAAAAUUGAAUUUUCCUGAUGACAGUAACCUCGCACCUUGAUUAACUUAACACCAUGAAUUUCGCAUACUAUCAAUAAGUGUCACAUACCAACUUGGUAACGUGUAUGCUAAAUUUAUUAAAAAUUCUAAGCAGACAAAUUCUCUUGUUCAAGGAA
This 1811-nucleotide long non-coding RNA is filed under the name Aphidius gifuensis. Its description in RNAcentral is "uncharacterized LOC122854538, transcript variant X1". Lineage: Eukaryota; Metazoa; Arthropoda; Insecta; Hymenoptera; Braconidae. The record is from RNAcentral.